GAAUGGGCAAUGAUAAGAAGAGUAACUUUGGGAAGUACGUAAAGAGAGCUUCUGUUUUGGUGAAAGGGAGCGUAUCGGAACAAGGUGAAGAUGGUCUUGGAGCCUCUAAUCGGGUGAAUAAUCAGCUCGAUUACGUCAGCAGGCGAUAUUCUGCAAAGUAUACAAAGGAGAUGCGGUCACGCAAUCACUUUAUGUACUUUUUGAGGUAAGGAUUGUGAAGUCCUUAUGAAAAUGGGUGGUAACGCGAAGCUUUCGUCCCAUGG
Molecule: non-coding RNA, 263 nt
Filed under: Trichococcus sp.
Lineage: Bacteria; Bacillati; Bacillota; Bacilli; Lactobacillales; Carnobacteriaceae
Description: T-box sequence
Rfam family: T-box leader
About the family: Uncharged tRNA acts as the effector for transcription antitermination of genes in the T-box leader family.
Source: RNAcentral